Molecule: long non-coding RNA, 706 nt
Organism: Hermetia illucens (black soldier fly)
Lineage: Eukaryota; Metazoa; Arthropoda; Insecta; Diptera; Stratiomyidae
Exons: 4
Source: RefSeq, a predicted model, not a curated record
CUGAGCAACCGUCGGUGGGAUUUCAAAAUGUCAUUGUUUGUGCCGGAGCCGUAAAGAGUAGAGUUAGUGUUAAUUUCGUGAUCUUCCGAAUUUCGGUUUUGGGCAAGAGGAAGGCAAACUCUCCAUCGCUCUCUACUUCCAGGCUGUUAUGGCUGCAAUGUACUGGCUGACUUGAAUACUAAAUUCACCACAAGGAUAAUCUACUAACCGCUCAGUUCCACCCGUGGAUGAUAUAAAAUUGAAUACAGCAUGAAAAGUGCUUGUCUCGAACAUCCUUGAAGUUGGGGUGGAGCACUGAUGCAAUAAGUUUCGUUCGCACUCUAAAUAAUAUCACAGAAGUAAAACUUUGUUACCGCAGGGCAUAAAAAUCCCUGCUUUAAUGCAAUCAGCUUCAGUUUCCAGUUGAUAGUGGGUUCAGCAUCUUGUGCGGUAUCCACCAGUGAACUAAUUCAUAUAUAGAAGGUGCUGAACUUUAGCUGGAGGAAACAUGACUUCCAACUUCCAGGGUUAACACUUGGUGCUGAAAUGCAUGUGUUUGGCAAGAGAUCAGGGUCAAACUACUCCAAUGCAAUUUCGUCGCGGUCAAGGGGAAAGUAAACGAUAUCAUAGAUGAUAAUUUGUUAACAAACGACAGUGAUCUUUGAUGGUAUCACUACAUAUAUACCACACACAAAUCCACACAGCAACUGAAGUGGAAGGAUAAGGU